CCUGGUUGAUCAUGCCAGUAGUCAUAUGCUUGUCUCAAAGAUUAAGCCAUGCAUGUCUAAGUAUGAACUAAUUCAAACUGUGAAACUGUGGAUGGCUCAUUAAAUUAGUUAUUGUUUUUUUUAUGGUACCAUACUACUUGGAUAACCGUAGUAAUUCUAGAGCUAAUAUGUGCACAAAGUUUUGACUCUUUGGAAGGGAUGCAUUUUUCAGAUAAGAGGUCGUCGCGAGCUUUCCCACUUCUUCAGUGAAUCAUGAUAACUUAACGGGUCGUGCAACCCUUGUGCUGGCGAUGCUUCAUUCAAAUUUCUUCCCUAUCAAAUUUCAAUGGUAGGAUAGAGGCCUACCAUGGUUGUGAUGGGUGAUGGAGAAUUCGGGUUCGAUUCCAGAGUGGGAGCCUGAGAAAUGACUACCACAUCCAAGGGAGGCAGCAGGGGCGCAAAUUACCCAAUCCUGACAUGGGGAGGUAGUGACAAUAAAUAACAAUACUGGGCUCAUCAAGUUUGGUAAUUGGAAUGAGUACAAUCUAAAUCCCUUAACAAGGAUCCAUUGGAGGGAAAUUUUGGUGCUAGCAACUGCGGUAAUUCUAGCUCCAAUAGCGUAUAUUUAACUUGUUACAGUUAAAAAGCUCGUAGUUGGAUCUUGGGUCGUAAAGGUCAAUCCGCCUACUCGAUGUGCACCUGCCUUCUGUCCCUUUUAUCGGCAGCAUGCUCCUAGACUUAAUUGGUUGGGUCGUGGCUCCAGCGCUGUUACUUUGAAAAAAUUAGAGUGCUCAAAGCAAGCUUAUGCUCUGAAUACAUUUGCAUGGAAUAACAUGAUAGGAGUAUGAUCCUAUUGUGUUGGUCUUCGAGACCGGAGUAAUGAUUAAUAGGGACUAUUGUGGGCAUUCACAUUUCAUUGUCAGAGGUGAAAUUCUUGGAUUUAUGAAAGGACCACUACAAAAGCAUUUUCCAAGGAUGUUUUCAUUAAUCAAGAAUGAAUGUUGGGGGCUUGAAGACGAUCAAAUACCGUCCUAGUAUAAACCAUAAACGAUGCUAACCAGGGAUUGGCGGAUGUUGCUCUAAGGACUCGACCAACACAUUCUGAGAAAUCAGAGUGUUUGGCUUCCAGGGGGAGUAUGGUCACAAGGUUGAAACUUGAAGGAAUUGAUGGAAGGGCACCACCAGGAAUGGAGCUUGCUGCUUAAUUUGACUCAACACGGGGAAACUUGCCAGGUCUAGACAUAGUAAGGAUUGACAAAUUGAGAGCUCUUUCUUGAUUCUAUGGGUGGUGGUGCAUGGCUGUUGUUAGUUGGUGGAGUAAUUUUUCUAGUUAAUUCCGAUAACGAACGAGACCUUAGCCUGCUAGCUAGCUACACAGAGGUUCCCCUUCAUGACCAGCUUUUUAGAGGGACUAUGGCAAUUUAGGCCAUGGAAGUUUGAGGUAAUAAUAGGUAUGUGAUGCCCUUAGAUGUUAUGGGCUGCCCACAUGCUACACUGACGUAGCCAACAAGUUUUUCUUCCUGGUUUAAGAGGAUCAGGAAAUAUUCUCAAAUUGCAUCAUGGUGGGGAUAGACCAUUGCAAUUAUUGGUCUUCAAAAAUGAAUUCCUAGUAAGCAUGUGUCAUCAACUCAUGUUGAUAGCAUCCCUACCCUUUGUACACAUCACUCGUCACUCCUACCGAUUGAAUGAUCUGGUGAAGUGUUCGGAUUGUGUCAAUGAUGGUGGUUCACCGUCGUUGACGUCAAAAGAAGUUCAUUGAACCUUAUCAUUUAGAGGAAGGUGAUGUCAUAACAAGGUUACUGUAGGUGAACCUAUGGUAG
RNAcentral lists this ribosomal RNA (1799 nucleotides) under Pinus taeda (loblolly pine). RNAcentral's name for it is "SSU rRNA". It matches the Rfam family "Eukaryotic small subunit ribosomal RNA". The record is from RNAcentral. Lineage: Eukaryota; Viridiplantae; Streptophyta; Pinopsida; Pinales; Pinaceae.